GUGCAAGAAGCAGACAUAAGAACUGCAUUUAUUUCCAUAAUUCCCCAUUUGAAUGACUUUUUCUUUUUGCUUAGACAAUGCCUACACCUAGCCACAGCAGCUCCCUCAUCCAGACUCCACAAACCAAGAGGCCAUGGAGGCAAAUGCAGGCAGCCAGCACACCUCGAACAGCCACCUUGACUGAGGGUGUGUCACCCUAGUCGCCAAGGAAGCAUUUGAGGAAAAGCGACAGGCAAUGUGAACAGCCACUUCUCCAUGUAAACGAUACUCUUUCUCUCGGACUGACUCCUACGCCUCGCCACGCCAGCUCAUCUGUGCAGACUCCACCAACAAAGAUGCCGCGGAGGCACGUGCAGGUCAGAGGCAAGAAGCAGUGGCACUGGUGUUGACAUUCACCCAAUUUCUUUCUUUUUCUUGCACUGAGGCAGCCAGCACACCUCGAACAGCCACCUUGACUGCAGGUGUAUCAGCAGGUUCCUGUUGUACAUAUGCUCAUAAUAAACUUCAGUAAGCUUGAACUUGAUAAUAAACUUGAAGGCAAAUG
RNAcentral lists this long non-coding RNA (544 nucleotides) under Dermacentor andersoni. RNAcentral's name for it is "uncharacterized LOC126518646". The record is from RNAcentral. Lineage: Eukaryota; Metazoa; Arthropoda; Arachnida; Ixodida; Ixodidae.